GUGGGGAAUCUUGCGCAAUGGGCGAAAGCCUGACGCAGCAACGCCGCGUGAGGGAGGACGGCCUUCGGGUUGUAAACCUCUUUCGACAUCGACGAAGGCCCUCACGUGUGGGGGUGGACGGUAGGUGUCAAAGAAGCACCGGCUAACUACGUGCCAGCAGCCGCGGUAAUACGUAGGGUGCGAGCGUUGUCCGGAUUUAUUGGGCGUAAAGAGCUCGUAGGCGGUUUGUCGCGUCGGCCGUGGAAACCUGUCGCUUAACGGCAGGCGUGCGGUCGAUACGGGCAGACUUGAGUUCGGCAGGGGAGACUGGAAUUCCUGGUGUAGCGGUGAAAUGCGCAGAUAUCAGGAGGAACACCGGUGGCGAAGGCGGGUCUCUGGGCCGAUACUGACGCUGAGGAGCGAAAGCGUGGGGAGCGAACAGGAUUAGAUACCCUAGUAGUCC
This 442-nucleotide ribosomal RNA is filed under the name uncultured bacterium. Its description in RNAcentral is "bacterial SSU rRNA". It matches the Rfam family "Bacterial small subunit ribosomal RNA", at positions 354 to 796 of the family's 1533-position model. The record is from RNAcentral.